RNAcentral lists this ribosomal RNA (259 nucleotides) under uncultured Leptotrichia sp. RNAcentral's name for it is "partial 16S ribosomal RNA". It matches the Rfam family "Bacterial small subunit ribosomal RNA", at positions 96 to 354 of the family's 1533-position model. The record is from RNAcentral. Lineage: Bacteria; Fusobacteriati; Fusobacteriota; Fusobacteriia; Fusobacteriales; Leptotrichiaceae.
UGGCGGACGGGUGAGUAACGCGUAAAGAACUUGCCCUUUAGACUGGGAUAACAGAGGGAAACUUCUGAUAAUACUGGAUAAGUUAGUAUAUCGCAUGAUAUGCAAAUGAAAGCUACGGCACUAAAGUAUAGCUUUGCGUCCUAUUAGCUAGUUGGUAAGGUAAGAGCUUACCAAGGCGAUGAUAGGUAGCCGGCCUGAGAGGGUGGACGGCCACAAGGGGACUGAGAUACGGCCCUUACUCCUACGGGAGGCAGCAGAA